GCCUUACACAUGCAAGUCGAACGGUAACAGGUCUUCGGACGCUGACGAGUGGCGAACGGGUGAGUAAUACAUCGGAACGUGCCCAGUCGUGGGGGAUAACUACUCGAAAGAGUAGCUAAUACCGCAUACGAUCUGAGGAUGAAAGCGGGGGACCUUCGGGCCUCGCGCGAUUGGAGCGGCCGAUGGCAGAUUAGGUAGUUGGUGGGAUAAAAGCUUACCAAGCCGACGAUCUGUAGCUGGUCUGAGAGGACGACCAGCCACACUGGGACUGAGACACGGCCCAGACUCCUACGGGAGGCAGCAGUGGGGAAUUUUGGACAAUGGGCGAAAGCCUGAUCCNNCAAUGCAGCGUGCNGGAUGAAGGCCUUCGGGUUGUAAACUGCUUUUGUACGGAACGAAAAAGCUUCUCCUAAUACG
Molecule: ribosomal RNA, 417 nt
Filed under: uncultured bacterium
Lineage: Bacteria
Description: bacterial SSU rRNA
Rfam family: Bacterial small subunit ribosomal RNA
Source: RNAcentral